GCCUACCAAGGCGUUAACGGGUAACGGGGAGUCAGGGUUCGAUUCCGGAGAGGGAGCCUGAGAAACGGCUACCACAUCCAAGGACGGCAGCAGGCGCGCAAAUUACCCAAUCCAGACAUUGGGAGGUAGUGACGAGAAAUACUGGGGUGGCUCCUAGCGAGCCUCGCCCGGGAUGGACGUAGCCCAAAAACAUCGGUGAUGAGCUACUGGAGGGCAAGUCUGGUGCCAGCAGCCGCGGUAAUUCCAGCUCCAGUAGUGUAUAUCAACAUUGUUGCGCUUAAAACGCUCGUAGUUGGAAUGGGGGGCGCCGCCAGGGGCCUCUGAAUUUUGGUCGCUGGUUUUGGGUAGGGCCGGAGUCGGCUCUUGAUAAAAGAGUGGCUGGGUGUUUGCCGGGCGCCCCAGAAUCAUGGGCCUCGGUUUCGGUCUUGGUUGACUGGGGCCGGGCGCCGAUGGGGUGUGCCUUGAAUAAACCAUGGUGCUCAAAGCAAGCGGGAAUGCUGGGGUGUGUUAGCAUGGAACGAGUUUUUAGAUCAAGGCCGGGUAUUUGGGCGUCUGAAUUAUUUUGAGAGGUUAGAUAGCCGGUCGGUUAGCGUUGGUGAACCAGGUCUCUACGGUUAAGAGGGACGCCUGGGGGCACUAGUACUCUGUGGCGAGAGGUGAAAUUCUUAGACCCGCAGAAGACUGGCUGGGGCGAAAGCAUUUGCCAAGAGUGUUUUCAUUAAUCAAGAACGAAGGUCAGAGGAUCGAAGACGAUCAGAUACCGUCCUAGUUUUGACAGCAAACGAUGCCGGCCUAGCUGCGGGGCUGCUACUCUUAUGGAGCAGAGCGGCCUCGCUGCUUGAGGGAAACCUAGCUUUCGGGCUGCGGGGAGAAUAUCGCUGCAAGGCUGAAAUUUAAAGAAAUUGACGGAGAGGCACCACCAGGAGUGGAGCCUGCGGCUUAAUUUGACUCAACACGGAAAACUCACCGGGUCCAGACAUUGGUAGGAUUGACAGAGUGGUGGAUCUUUCAUGAUUCAGUGAAUGGUGGUGCAUGGCCGUUCUUAGUUGGUGGAGUGAUCUGUCAGGUCUAUUCCGGUAACGAGCGAGACCGCGGCCCCGUCUGGGUCCGUGGACUUUUUGAGGUGGGGUGCCUAUGAAUUGGGGGCCUAUUAAUUAGUUGAAUUUAUUUGAGUGGGUGGCUAAAUUGGUGGGCUCUGACUUGGGGUUUUGGGAAUUUCGGGGGACUACCGGUUGAAAGCCGGGGUAAGCGCGGCAAUAACAGGUCUGUGAUGCCCUUCGAUGUCCUGGGCUGCACGCGGGCUACAAUGGCGUCAGUAGAGAGUUGCUAGCCUGAGGAGGCCGGCUAACCUGCUAAUGGACGCCGUAACGGGGAUUGAGCCUUGGAAUUGUGGCUCAUGAAAGAGGAAUUCCUCGUAAGGGCCGGUCAUCAGCCGGCCCUGAAUACGUCUCUGCCUCUUGUACACACCGCCCGUCGCUACUACCGAUUGAAUUGUCCUCAAAGGGGGUUGGAGCGGGACAUUUGGGCUGUGUUAAUUUAUAGUUUGAGUUUCUGCAAGGGCCGACGAUGGGGGCCAUUUAGAGGAAGUAAAAGU
RNAcentral lists this ribosomal RNA (1594 nucleotides) under Pseudalataspora kovalevae. RNAcentral's name for it is "bacterial SSU rRNA". It matches the Rfam family "Eukaryotic small subunit ribosomal RNA", at positions 339 to 1789 of the family's 1831-position model. Lineage: Eukaryota; Metazoa; Cnidaria; Myxozoa; Bivalvulida; Alatasporidae. The record is from RNAcentral.